CAGUCGCCGCGGUAAUACGUAGGGUGCGAGCGUUAAUCGGAAUUACUGGGCGUAAAGCGUGCGCAGGCGGUUCGUUAAGACAGAUGUGAAAUCCCGGGCUUAACCUGGGAACUGCAUUUGUGACUGGCGAGCUAGAGUAUGGCAGAGGGGGGUAGAAUUCCACGUGUAGCAGUGAAAUGCGUAGAGAUGUGGAGGAAUACCGAUGGCGAAGGCAGCCCCCUGGGCCAAUACUGACGCUCAUGCACGAAAGCGUGGGGAGCAAACAGGAUUAGAUACCCCAGUAGUCCCUGUCUCUUAUACA
This 301-nucleotide ribosomal RNA is filed under the name uncultured bacterium. Its description in RNAcentral is "partial 16S ribosomal RNA". It matches the Rfam family "Bacterial small subunit ribosomal RNA", at positions 509 to 808 of the family's 1533-position model. The record is from RNAcentral.